UACAGAGGGGGCAAGCGUUGUUCGGAAUUACUGGGCGUAAAGGGCGCGUAGGCGGCCCGCUAAGUCGAACGUGAAAUCCCCGGGCUCAACUCGGGAACUGCGUCCGAUACUGGCGGGCUUGAAUCCGGGAGAGGGAUGCGGAAUUCCAGGUGUAGCGGUGAAAUGCGUAGAUAUCUGGAGGAACAUCGGUGGCGAAGGCGGCAUCCUGGACCGGCAUUGACGCUGAGGCGCGAAAGCUAGGGGAGCAAACGGG
This 253-nucleotide ribosomal RNA is filed under the name uncultured bacterium. RNAcentral's name for it is "partial 16S ribosomal RNA". It matches the Rfam family "Bacterial small subunit ribosomal RNA", at positions 524 to 776 of the family's 1533-position model. The record is from RNAcentral.